RNAcentral lists this ribosomal RNA (466 nucleotides) under uncultured bacterium. Its description in RNAcentral is "partial 16S ribosomal RNA". It matches the Rfam family "Bacterial small subunit ribosomal RNA", at positions 28 to 523 of the family's 1533-position model. The record is from RNAcentral.
GAUGAACGCUGGCGGCGUGCCUAACACACGCAAGUCGAGCGAACCCUUCGGGGUGAGCGGCGGACGGGUGAGUAACGCGUGGGUAACCUGCCCUAUACACACGGAUAACGUACCGAAGGGUACGCUAAUACGGGAUAAAGUUGUUGGAUGGCAUCUUCUAACAAUCAAAGCUCCGGCGGUAUAGGAUGGACCCGCGUCUGAUUAGCAAGUUGGUGAGGUAAUGGCUCACCAAGGCGACGAUCAGUAGCCGACCUGAGAGGGUGAUCGGCCACACUGGAACUGAGACACGGUCCAGACUCCUACGGGAGGCAGCAGUGGGGAAUAUUGCACAAUGGGCGAAAGCCUGAUGCAGCAACGCCGCGUGAGCGAUGAAGGUCUUCGGAUCGUAAAGCUCUGUCCUCAAGGAGGAUAAUGACGGUACUUGAGGAGGAAGCCCCGGCUAACUACGUGCCAGCCGCCGCGGUAA